CAGAAGAAGCACCGGCUAACUCUGUGCCCAGCAGCCGCGGUAAUACAGAGGGGUGCAAGCGUUAUUCGGAAUUACUGGGCGUAAAGCGCGCGUAGGCGGAUGAUUAAGUCAGUUGUGAAAGCCCUGGGCUCAACCUAGGAACUGCAUCUGAUACUGGUCAUCUAGAGUUUAAGAGAGGGAAGUGGAAUUCCAGGUGUAGCAGUGAAAUGCGUAGAUAUCUGGAGGAACAUCAGUGGCGAAGGCGACUUCCUGGCUUAAAACUGACGCUGAGGUGCGAAAGCGUGGGUAGCGAACGGGAUUAGAUACCCCGGUAGUCCACGCCGUAAACGAUGUCAACUAGUUGUUGGUCUUAUUAAAAAGAUUAGUAACGAAGCUAACGCGAUAAGUUGACCGCCUGGGGAGUACGGUCGCAAGAUUAAAACUCAAAGGGAUUGACGGGGGCCCGCACAAGCGGUGGAGCAUGUGGUUUAAUUCGAUGCAACGCGAAGAACCUUACCAUCCCUUGACAUGUAGAGAAUUUUCCAGAGAUGGAUUAGUGCCUUCGGGAACUCUAACACAGGUGCUGCAUGGCUGUCGUCAGCUCGUGUCGUGAGAUGUUGGGUUAAGUCCCGCAACGAGCGCAACCCUUAUCUUUAGUUGCUACCAUUUAGUUGAGAACUCUAAAGAGACUGCCGGUGAUAAACCGGAGGAAGGUGGGGACGACGUCAAGUCACCAUGGCCCUUAUGGGAUGGGCUACACACGUGCUACAAUGGGGGGUACAAAGAGCAGCCAACUGGCAACAGUGCGCGAAUCUCAAAAAGCCUCUCGUAGUCCGGAUCGGAGUCUGCAACUCGACUCCGUGAAGUCGGAAUCGCUAGUAAUCGCGGAUCAGAAUGCCGCGGUGAAUACGUUCCCGGGCCUUGCACACACCGCCCGUC
Molecule: ribosomal RNA, 918 nt
Filed under: uncultured Gammaproteobacteria bacterium
Lineage: Bacteria; Pseudomonadati; Pseudomonadota; Gammaproteobacteria
Description: bacterial SSU rRNA
Rfam family: Bacterial small subunit ribosomal RNA
Source: RNAcentral